Daphnia pulex (common water flea) is the source of this 1407-nucleotide long non-coding RNA. RefSeq lists it as uncharacterized. The record is from RefSeq and is a predicted model, not a curated record. The transcript has 3 exons. Lineage: Eukaryota; Metazoa; Arthropoda; Branchiopoda; Diplostraca; Daphniidae.
UGAAUUUGUGUUUAUUACCCAGAUGACGCGGAGGUGUUAGCCGAUGAGCCGAUUGGACGUCGAUGGAAGCUAUCUUUUCCUACCGCUAGGUGACUCGAUCAUCAGCGUGAGUGAUUGAAUAUCGUCUGAUGCUUCCUGCCAUUCUAUUCCUUUGUCAUCGCCCCAUGGGAACUGAAGUCGUGAUUUCCCGCCUACUUGGAAAGGUUGGAACGAAAAAAAUAUAUCACUAACUUAGUUUUUCGGUUUUUUGCCAACUGGAGCUGAUUUGAUGAUGAAAUGAUGAUGAAAAACCUGAUGUAAUGAUAAAUCAAUGGAAACGAUUUACUGUUUCUGAAAUGCCAUCUUCAGUGUGUCCUGCUGUGCAUCUAUGUGAAGAAGGAACAACUUCGUUUCAAGAAUUUGCCAUCAUUUCCUGUGGGAUUGAGCAGCCAUGAGUUUCGGAACAAGGCCAUCGUUCACCACAAGACACCAAGGCUCUCGAUUGGAAUCCCAUCAGUUGAGGAAGUUCAUUCAAAGGUUAGUAGGAUCUUUAUUUUCUCGCAUCAGUUCUUGCAGUUUCUUCUCCUAGUGAAUGGCAAUAGUUCGUUAUCUGGUUGUGACGAUCUGGAAUUAUGUGACGGACAAGAUUUGUUGGGAAAUAUCAAAUGGAGAAAAACGAUUGAGAAAUCGUGCCGAUUCGAUUAGACUUGCAUCGAUUUAAUUUUCAGUUAGUAAUUCAUAAAGUGACGAUGCAAUAGCUUCGCAAAUCAAUUUUCCAUUUUCUUCCUAUGAAUGUCUCAAGUGUACCAACUUAUUCGCAUUCAAUUAGGAAAACUAAUCGUUGGUCUUUUUGUCAUUGCAAGUGUUUAUUUUUGAUCGUAUGUCGACAUCGACCCGCAUCGUCUUAUUUCUUCCUUGGCUCUCGGCUCCUUGUAACUUUUCCGACACAGCGGGACAUGCGAAUUGUAAUGAAUCUCACUUCUCUGCUGAAUGGAAUGUAUAGCACAAGGCAAUGUCAACAAUGCGAAGCUUCAUAAUUAGGAGGGACAUGUCGUCAUCGAUUCGGAAAUCGAAUCAGCUGUUGUCAGCUGUGUUGUACAUUUUUUCGGGGACGGUCUCUUUUAUGACAAACAUCAGGGACAUACAAAUAGGCUGACAGGCCACAACAUUUUUGGGGUUUUACUUUUUUAAAAGAGGCGCGAUAAUGUGCUCGAUCUUAGUUUUAAAUAGUUGUUGGCCACUACUUGACCGAUGCCCGUUUUAUUGAAUCCGUUCUUCUGAAUUCUUUCGAUUUAAGAAAUUUUCAUUUUGCUGGGCUCUUUUCCUUUUCGUGUUCCCGAUACCCGCGCACCUUGGCAUCGAAAAAAGUGAAAUGUGCAAUCAAAAGUGUCAAGUACGAUACUGAAUAGAAAGCUUUGGGUGGAAUAA